CCUACGGGAGGCAGCAGUGAGGAAUAUUGGUCAAUGGACGAGAGUCUGAACCAGCCAAGUAGCGUGAAGGAUAACUGCCCUAUGGGUUGUAAACUUCUUUUAUAUGGGAAUAAAAUGUUCCACGUGUGGGAUUUUGUAUGUACCAUAUGAAUAAGGAUCGGCUAACUCCGUGCCAGCAGCCGCGGUAAAACGGAGGAUCCGAGCGUUAUCCGGAUUUAUUGGGUUUAAAGGGAGCGUAGGUGGAUUGUUAAGUCAGUUGUGAAAGUUUGCGGCUCAACCGUAAAAUUGCAGUUGAAACUGGCAGUCUUGAGUACAGUAGAGGUGGGCGGAAUUCGUGGUGUAGCGGUGAAAUGCUUAGAUAUCACGAAGAACUCCGAUUGCGAAGGCAGUUCACUGGACUGCAACGGACACUGAGGCUCGAAAGUGUGGGUAUCAAACAGGAUUAGAUACCCCUGUAGUC
RNAcentral lists this ribosomal RNA (460 nucleotides) under uncultured bacterium. RNAcentral's name for it is "partial 16S ribosomal RNA". It matches the Rfam family "Bacterial small subunit ribosomal RNA", at positions 338 to 795 of the family's 1533-position model. The record is from RNAcentral.